This 1356-nucleotide ribosomal RNA is filed under the name Triticum aestivum (bread wheat). Its description in RNAcentral is "partial small subunit ribosomal RNA". The record is from RNAcentral. Lineage: Eukaryota; Viridiplantae; Streptophyta; Magnoliopsida; Poales; Poaceae.
AUGAACAACUUCCACGUCUACGAGGCCAUUGGCCGCGGCAAGCACGCGACGGUGUACAAGGGGCGGAAGAAGAAAACCAUCCAGUACUUCGCCGUCAAGAGCGUCAAGUCGCAGCGAUCCAAGGUCCUCAAUGAGGUCCAGAUGCUCCAUUCUUCAGAUCAUGCAAAUGUCCUGAAAUUUUACUCUUGGUACGAAACAUCAGCACAUUUUCGGCUAGUAUUGGAAUAUUGUGUUGGUGGAGACCUCAAGGGCUUGCUCGAGCAGGAUAAGAAGCUGCCUGAAAGUGCCAUGCACGACCUGGCUUAUGAUCUUGUCAAAGCCCUCCUGUUCUUGCAUUCACAAGGAAUUAUAUACUGUGAUCUGAAGCCAUCUAACAUUCUACUUGAUGAGUUUGGAUGCAUGAAGCUGUGUGGUUUUGGGUUAGCAAGACGUUUAAAGGACAUUGAGAAGACCAAUCCUGGAGAUGUGCCACAACCUAUGAGGGGGACACCAUGUUACAUGGCUCCUGAGUUGUUCCAAGAGGGAGGGGUCCACUCAUAUGCUUCUGAUUUCUGGGCUCUUGGUUGUGUGCUAUAUGAAUGCUAUGCAGGAAGACCUCCUUUCGUGGGCCGUGAAUUUACCCAGUUAGUCAAAUCCAUAGUUUCAGAGCCUGCACCACCUUUACCUGAUAACAUGUCAAGGUCUUUCCAGAAUCUGAUCAACUGCUUACUCAUGAAAGACCCAGCUGAAAGACUACAGUGGUCUGAACUAUGUGCACACAACUUUUGUAGGAACAGUAUGCCGAUGAUUCCUUUACCUCCUCAGCCUGCCUUUGAUAACAUGGUUGGACUUCCCGCUACGCCAUAUUUAGUUGAGCAAAAUGGGGAUAAACCCACCAGACAGCUGACGCCACCCAAGACUCGUGAACACCUACGCAAGAAAGAUGAAAAUUCCGCCAAGGUGUUCACGACCCCUAUUAAGAAUGUGCAAACUGGUAAGAAAAAUAAUCCAAAUCAUUGUAAGGCUGAUGGUUUGAAGGGUGUAAAUGUCCUUAGAAUGUCUCGCAUAGCUAAGAAAAAUUUGCAAAGGGAAAAGGCCGAGGAGAACUACAGGCGCCCUCCCACAGAAACAGACGAAAAUGAGGCUGAAGUUAAGAUCGGAAAUAUGGAGCUUGAUUUUGGUGAAAAUGCAGAAGGCGGUGCACCUGAUGAUAAUGAUGGAUCAGAUAAUGCUGGAUCCACAGCAGAUGAAAAACAUAGGACUCAAGGAACUGAUGGAAAUGAAGAGAACUGCAUAAAUCAGGUGGAUAUGCUCACGGAUGAGUGUUCUGUUAAGCCUGAUACCGUGUUGUAAGCUGAGCAGAACGUCCAAAGAUAA